CAAUACACCCUGAAUGACGAGCGGCGGACGGGUGAGGAACACGUAGGAACCUGCCCUCAAGCGGGGGACAACCAUGGGAAACCGUGGCUAAUACCGCAUACACCCGCAAGGGGAAAGCUACCCGCAAGGGCGGCACUUGAGGAGGGGCCUGCGUCCGAUUAGCUGGCUGGUGGGGUAAUGGCCUACCAGGGCGAUGAUCGGUAACUGGUCUGAGAGGACGACCAGUCACACUGGGACUGAGACACGGCCCAGACUCCUACGGGAGGCAGCAGUGGGGAAUAUUGGACAAUGGGGGCAACCCUGAUCCAGCGAUGCCGCGUGAGUGAAGAAGGCCUUCGGGUCGUAAAGCUCUUUAGUCCGGGAAGAAGGUGAUGUGGUGCAUAGCCACGUUGCUUGACGGUACCGGAAGAAUAAGCACCGGCAAACUCUGUGCCAGCAGCCGCGGUAAUACAGAGGGUGCGA
Molecule: ribosomal RNA, 462 nt
Filed under: uncultured bacterium
Lineage: Bacteria
Description: bacterial SSU rRNA
Rfam family: Bacterial small subunit ribosomal RNA
Source: RNAcentral